Molecule: long non-coding RNA, 1705 nt
Organism: Cucumis melo (muskmelon)
Lineage: Eukaryota; Viridiplantae; Streptophyta; Magnoliopsida; Cucurbitales; Cucurbitaceae
Exons: 5
Source: RefSeq, a predicted model, not a curated record
UCCUCUUUCUCUCUACAUCUCCACGAAAAGGCUCCGAAAACCCCAAUCUCAAUCCUCUCCAUCUCCACACCUAUCGUUCGGCCACACUUCUCAUCGACACCAAACCAUGGAGUCCCAAAAGAAAUCACAUCUCGACCACACUUCUCGGUUUCUCAUUGAUGUCGACCGGCCACGACAUUUUGGUCAGCCCUACUAGAUUUCUCAAUCGACAGCGACCCACAAAGCUGACACCACACGACUCGGUUUCUCAUCGACGAUGACCCAUCUCUCCAGUUCUCAAUCUAAAAUUUCUUAUGAUCCACCUAGCGACCCAUCUACUAGAAGCCUCAUCCGUCGGAAAGGAAAUCCUUUACGCAGAAACUUCAUCAUUUUUGUUCAGGAAAAUUGAUUUUCAUGCUAUGUUCUCUUUCUUUUUUUUGUUUCUAUGUUUUUCUUUGGUUCUUUUUGGCGUCUCUUGAUGUGCACGUUUGAUUUUGAUGAACUUUCUUGCUGUUUCUCCUUGUCGAUGUGUUUUAAAUCGUGAAUGAUUGCACUUGUAUGAUUUUUUAUAAGCAUUUCAAUUUUCAGUUUAUUGCUGGAAUAGAUGUUGAGAAAAUGAGUUUUGCACCUUUAAAUUUGAUGUCGUUUAUGUGGGAAGUAGCUGCUCUUUUUUGUUAUAGAUAGAGGAAACAACGCAAUUUGAGAGAUUGAACUUAACUACGAUGACUGCAAUACCCAACUUGGGUAGAAUAAAAAGUGUAUCAUCCCUGCCAUUUUCAUUCAUCACUCUUAGUAAAUAAAACCAUUCAUUUAUGCUAUUUAUUCUUAUUGGUGACAUGAAAUGUUUAAUUUCUCUUUGCAAGGGCAGUAUUGUUGGUUGCUACAAAUAUUUCCGGUUACCUUCUUGCUUUGCUCCAAAGUAGGUUGAAAAGCUAUGUUUCUUCACAGAAGGAUCAAGAUGUAAGAAGUCAGAAAAUGAUCAAAUCACCACGCCAGUUGAGGUGCUUGGAACAAAUGACUUUGGUUACCAUUGCAGAAGUUUGUGAUGCUAAUCCAUAACUCAUUGUAAUUGGUGAACUUCGGGCCCUUGUACCAAAGUUAUGCUGAUAUGCCAUUUUUCUUGUCAUGGGUUGUACAAGUUGCAAUAGGAUUUGAUUAUAUAUAUAAACAUCCAUUCAAGCAGUUAUAGUUGGUUGAAGGGUUUGUAUUACAAUUGAAGUGCUUUGAUUAUAUAUGGUGUUUUUUGUUCUGUUGACUUUUGUUUUGUUUUAUCUAUUCAAGCAACAAAUUUUUCGUAAGGAGGGGCUAUGUGGAAUGUAUAGAGGUCGUGCAGCUAUAGUGCUUGCAUUACUGCCUAACUGGGCUGUUUAUUUCACAAUAUAUGGGCAGCUUAAAACCUUUCUUGGCUCUAAUGGUGCUAAUAUGAUGGUUGCUUUUGGUGCUAAAGCUGCUACAACUAUUGCAACAAAUCCUUGAUGGGUUGUCAAGACCAGGCUUCAUGUAUGGAUUUCAAGCUUAUUUUCUUGAUUUUCCUUUUCUCUUGAGGAAAAGCUCACGGUUUUCUCUUUGAAAUUCUGUGAUGUUGGGAUUUCUUGUGGACAUAAUUGAAUUGUAUGAAGAAGUUAAGGUUUGUAGAGUUUGAGACCAUUUUGGAAUUGUGUUGUUGGAUGGAAGAACGGUUCAUAUAGUGGUUUGAAGUGGUUAAACUCCUUGAUAUUAGUUUAAA